CCUACGGGAGGCAGCAGUGGGGAAUAUUGCACAAUGGGGGAAACCCUGAUGCAGCGACGCCGCGUGAGUGAAGAAGUAUUUCGGUAUGUAAAGCUCUAUCAGCAGGGAAGAAAAUGACGGUACCUGAUUAAGAAGCCCCGGCUAACUACGUGCCAGCAUCCGCGGUAAUACGCAGGGGGCAAGCGUUAUCCGGAUUUACUGGGUGGAAAGGGAGCGUAGACGGCAGCACAAGUCUGGAGUGAAAUGCCGGGGCUUAACCCCGGAACUGCUUUGGAAACUGUGCAGCUAGAGUGGAGGAGAGGUAAGUGGAAUGCCUGGUGUAGCGGUGAAAUGCGUAGAUAUUAGGAGGAACACCAGUGGCGAAGGCGGCUUACUGGACUGUAACUGACGUUGAGGCUCGAAAGCGUGGGGAGCAAACAGGAUUAGAUACCCGGGUAGUC
This 440-nucleotide ribosomal RNA is filed under the name uncultured bacterium. RNAcentral describes it as "partial 16S ribosomal RNA". It matches the Rfam family "Bacterial small subunit ribosomal RNA", at positions 338 to 795 of the family's 1533-position model. The record is from RNAcentral.